GAAAAGAAUGCUAAUACCGCAUGACAUAUCGGAACCACAUGGUUCUGAUAUCAAAGAUUUUAUCGCUUGAAGAUGGACUCGCGUCCGAUUAGUUAGUUGGUGAGGUAACGGCUCACCAAGACCGCGAUCGGUAGCCGGACUGAGAGGUUGAACGGCCACAUUGGGACUGAGACACGGCCCAGACUCCUACGGGAGGCAGCAGUGGGGGAUAUUGCGCAAUGGGGGCAACCCUGACGCAGCAACGCCGCGUGAAGGAUGAAGGUUUUCGGAUUGUAAACUUCUUUUAUUAAGGACGAAAAAUGACGGUACUUAAUGAAUAAGCUCCGGCUAACUACGUGCCAGCAGCCGCGGUAAUACGUAGGGAGCAAGCGUUGUCCGGAUUUACUGGGUGUAAAGGGUGCGUAGGCGGCUUUGCAAGUCAGAUGUGAAAUCUAUGGGCUCAACCCAUAAACUGCAUUUGAAACUGUAGAGCUUGAGUGAAGUAGAGGCAGGCGGAAUUCCCCGUGUAGCGGUGAAAUGCGUAGAGAUGGGGAGGAACACCAGUGGCGAAGGCGGCCUGCUGGGCUUUAACUGACGCUGAGGCACGAAAGCGUGGGUAGCAAACAGGAUUAGAUACCCUGGUAGUCCACGCUGUAAACGAUGAUUACGAGGUGUGGGGGGUCUGACCCCUUCCGUG
Molecule: ribosomal RNA, 676 nt
Filed under: uncultured bacterium
Lineage: Bacteria
Description: bacterial SSU rRNA
Rfam family: Bacterial small subunit ribosomal RNA
Source: RNAcentral